Molecule: non-coding RNA, 1100 nt
Organism: Benincasa hispida (wax gourd)
Lineage: Eukaryota; Viridiplantae; Streptophyta; Magnoliopsida; Cucurbitales; Cucurbitaceae
Source: RefSeq, a predicted model, not a curated record
AGCUCUUCAAUCUAGCAUUGUUGAAAGAAGGAUAUGAAACAGGGAUUAAAAAGGUGGAAAGUUUGAUAUUGAAAAAAAAAUAUUGAUUUGAUUUGAGGGAUGUGAUUAGGGAAAAAAGGGAAUCCUAGCACCAAAUCUCUCCUUCUCUUCCUCUCUUUCACGUGGAACCCCCCCGCCCCUCUUUCACAGCCGCCUGCAUCAAACUCCGAUCGGCAGCCUUUUGUCGCCGUCCCUCGCACCGUCGAUCGAAGCCGUCCUACAGAUUGCCGCCCAGUCGAUCCGCUUAGUCGCCCUGCCAGCCAACCGCGUCUCAUUCCCUCCAGCCAUGCACCGCCAGUCGUCACUGUCGUCGUCAAGAUCCGUGUGUCCGGCAGCCCGAUUUUCCCCUGUUCCGGCAUUCAUUAGUGUAGACCCACGAUUUCAUCACUUUCGGUAGCAUGGAGCGGCAUUUUCCUCCCUUUCGGUAAGGUUCGACACACUUGCCCAUUUAAUUUUGACGUUGGAUUUGAAACACCCAUUACUUUAUGGCUCCGAAUUUCUAGGAUUAAGCGAAUUCGAUCACCGAUCAGCAAGGGUUUGGGUUGUUUUGGGCAAUUUCAGUGGAAGCAUUCACACCAAAUUCCACCAAUAUUUCCAGUUUGCCCAUACACAAUGUGGAAUUAAAGAAAGGAGAGAAAUUGGGAGAGUGAAUUUGGUUGGGGUUCUGAUAUUUCAAUGAGAGUUUAUCACUGUUAGCACCCUUGUUGUAAGUUUUUCUCACUAUCAGCAUCCCAUAUUUCCAGUUUGCCCAUACACAAUGAGCUUUACUAAUUCAAUGUUCAUUUUCAUUCGAACCCUCACUCAUAAUUUUGAUCUUCAGUUAUUGUUCAUGUUCACUAGCUUUGCUUCUUUUUUAUUUUAUUUUAUUUUUUUGGAUGAAUUUAAUGAGCCAUUUUGGUCCUUUUUUGAUUGAAGUAUGGGUGCAAAUUCAAUAUUGUUUUGUCAACCUGCUGUUUAAUAUUAUUGGGUUAGCUUCUCUUGAACAUGAAAAGAAUAUGUACGAAGCAUAGAGAAUGGUUAUGUAGUUGUACUGUUUUAGCUAGGGUUUUUUUUUGUAAAUU